RNAcentral lists this ribosomal RNA (334 nucleotides) under uncultured bacterium. Its description in RNAcentral is "bacterial SSU rRNA". It matches the Rfam family "Bacterial small subunit ribosomal RNA", at positions 568 to 898 of the family's 1533-position model. The record is from RNAcentral.
UGUGUAGGCGGUUCUUUAAGUUUUGGUGUGAAAUCUCCCGGCUCAACCGGGAGGGUGCGCCGAAUACUGAGGGACUCGAGUGCGGGAGAGGAAAGUGGAAUUCCUGGUGUAGCGGUGAAAUGCGUAGAUAUCAGGAGGAACACCGGUGGUGUAGACGGCUUUCUGGACCGUAACUGACGCUGAGACACGAAAGCGUGGGUAGCGAAACAGGAUUAGAUACCCUGGUACGUCCACGCCCUAAACGAUGCAUAUUUGGUGUGGGUCAUUCAGUUGAUCCGUGCCGGAGCUAACGCGUUAAAUAUGCCGCCUGGGGAGUACAGGUCGCAAGGCUGAA